UACGUAGGGUGCGAGCGUUGUCCGGAAUUAUUGGGCGUAAAGAGCUCGUAGGCGGUCUGUCGCGUCGGUCGUGAAAACUUGGGGCUUAACCCUGAGCUUGCGGUCGAUACGGGCAUGACUGGAGUUCGGCAGGGGAGACUGGAAUUCCUGGUGUAGCGGUGAAAUGCGCAGAUAUCUGGAGGAACACCGGUGGCGAAGGCGGCAUCCUGGACCAAUACUGACACUGAGGAGCGAAAGCGUGGGGAGCGAACAGG
This 254-nucleotide ribosomal RNA is filed under the name uncultured bacterium. RNAcentral's name for it is "partial 16S ribosomal RNA". It matches the Rfam family "Bacterial small subunit ribosomal RNA", at positions 524 to 776 of the family's 1533-position model. The record is from RNAcentral.